Molecule: ribosomal RNA, 253 nt
Filed under: uncultured bacterium
Lineage: Bacteria
Description: partial 16S ribosomal RNA
Rfam family: Bacterial small subunit ribosomal RNA
Source: RNAcentral
UACAGAGGUCCCAAGCGUUGUUCGGAUUCACUGGGCGUAAAGGGUGCGUAGGUGGUCGGGUAAGUCUGAUGUGAAAUCUCCGAGCUUAACUCGGAAAUGGCAUUGGAUACUAUUCGACUGGAGGGUUGGAGGGGGGACUGGAAUUCUCGGUGUAGCAGUGAAAUGCGUAGAUAUCGAGAGGAACACCAGUGGCGAAGGCGAGUCCCUAGACAACUCCUGACACUGAGGCACGAAAGCUAGGGGAGCAAACAGG